GGCCAGGUGGCGGAGUGGUAACACAUGCGAGACAAAUACAUAGCCUGCAAUGUUUCCUUGCAAGGUCUCCGUUUGAUUCAGGGUCUGGCCU
Molecule: non-coding RNA, 91 nt
Organism: Mycena metata
Lineage: Eukaryota; Fungi; Basidiomycota; Agaricomycetes; Agaricales; Mycenaceae
Source: the annotation of a GenBank genome assembly